This 325-nucleotide ribosomal RNA is filed under the name uncultured Paracercomonas. RNAcentral describes it as "SSU rRNA". The stretch from base 106 to 325 matches the Rfam family "Eukaryotic small subunit ribosomal RNA", at positions 736 to 955 of the family's 1831-position model. The record is from RNAcentral. Lineage: Eukaryota; Cercozoa; Cercomonadida; Cercomonadidae.
GAUUUCUGGUUCGGCGCGUCUGACCCAUUGGGGUAACUCAAUGAGUGUCGGUUCGCGCCUGCCAUCUCUUCGAGCAGGCAUGUUGCUUCGCAAGGAGUGGAUAUGUCCUCGUCUCGAUCUUUUACUUUGAAAAAAUUAGAGUGUUUAAAGCAGGCAUGUUGCUAUGAAUAUAUUAGCAUGGAAUAAUAACUUAGGACUUUGUUCUUAUGUUAUUGGUUACCUGAGAACGAAGUAAUGAUUGAUAGGGAUAGUUGGGGGUGCUAGUAUUCAUCGGCCAGAGGUGAAAUUCUUGGAUUCGAUGAAGACUAACUAAUGCGAAAGCAUU